RNAcentral lists this ribosomal RNA (407 nucleotides) under uncultured bacterium. RNAcentral describes it as "partial 16S ribosomal RNA". It matches the Rfam family "Bacterial small subunit ribosomal RNA", at positions 360 to 774 of the family's 1533-position model. The record is from RNAcentral.
AAUAUUGCGCAAUGGAGGGAACUCUGACGCAGCGACGCCGCGUGAGCGAUGAAGGUCUUCGGAUCGUAAAGCUCUGUCCUUGGGGAAGAAGGUCUUCGGACUUGCCGGUACCUAAGGAGGACGCCCCGGCUAACUACGUGCCAGCAGCCGCGGUAAUACGUAGGGGGCAAGCGUUGUCCGGAAUUAUUGGGCGUAAAGGGUGCGAGGGCGGCCUUCUAAGUCAGAAGUGAAAGCCCACGGGUUAACCGGGGGACUGCAUUUGAAACUGGAGGGCUUGAGUAUCGGAGAGGGUAGUGGAAUUCCCAGUGUAGUGGUGGAAUGCGUAGAUAUUGGGAGGAACACCAGUGGCGAAGGCGACUAACUGGACGAAAACUGACGCUGAGGCACGAAAGCUAGGGGAGCAAACA